UACGAAGGGGGCUAGCGUUGCUCGGAAUCACUGGGCGUAAAGGGCGCGUAGGCGGCGUUUUAAGUCGGGGGUGAAAGCCUGUGGCUCAACCACAGAAUUGCCUUCGAUACUGGACGGCUUGAGUCCGGAAGAGGUCAGUGGAACUGCGAGUGUAGAGGUGAAAUUCGUAGAUAUUCGCAAGAACACCAGUGGCGAAGGCGGCUGACUGGUCCGGAACUGACGCUGAAGCGCGAAAGCGUGGGGAGCAAACAGG
Molecule: ribosomal RNA, 253 nt
Filed under: uncultured bacterium
Lineage: Bacteria
Description: partial 16S ribosomal RNA
Rfam family: Bacterial small subunit ribosomal RNA
Source: RNAcentral